UAGGGAAUAUUAGAAAUGGACGAAAGUCUGAUCUAGCAACACCGCGUGUGCGAAGAAGGCCUUCGGGUUGUAAAGCACUUUUUGGAAGGAUUAGGAAGGAAUGUACUUCCGGAAUAAGUCUCGGCUAACUACGUGCCAGCAGCCGCGGUAACACGUAGGAGGCAAACGUUAUCCGGAUUUACUGGGCGUAAAGCGCGUGUAGGUGGUUCUGUAAGUAGGGCGUGAAAGCUCCUGGCUCAAUUGGGAGAGGCCGUUCUAAACUGCAGAGCUAGAGGAUGGUAGAGGGAGGUGUAAUUCCGGGUGUAGCGGUGGAAUGCGCAGAUAUCCGGAGGAACACCAGUGGCAAAAGCGGCCUCCUGGACCAUUCCUGACACUCAGACGCGAAAGCUAGGGUAGCAAACG
Molecule: ribosomal RNA, 402 nt
Filed under: uncultured prokaryote
Description: bacterial SSU rRNA
Rfam family: Bacterial small subunit ribosomal RNA
Source: RNAcentral